CAACGUGAACGUGAACGUUUACGUGAACGUGGACGUUUACGUGGACGUGGACGUUUACGUGAAC
This 64-nucleotide unclassified non-coding RNA is filed under the name Sorangium cellulosum So ce56. Its description in RNAcentral is "sce_SECIS_3". The record is from RNAcentral. Lineage: Bacteria; Pseudomonadati; Myxococcota; Polyangiales; Polyangiaceae.